Nerophis lumbriciformis (worm pipefish) is the source of this 726-nucleotide long non-coding RNA. RefSeq lists it as uncharacterized. The record is from RefSeq and is a predicted model, not a curated record. Lineage: Eukaryota; Metazoa; Chordata; Actinopteri; Syngnathiformes; Syngnathidae.
GUGAAAGCAGGUGCAAAGAGAAAAAUGGCAGUUGAAACGAACCGUUUAUACUUUGCUGCAUUGUAACUCGAGGACGACACAAGAUUUCAAACAGAAAAACCACAAAAAUUAAACAACAUUGGUUGAGUUAAGUCAACGAACAAGGACUGUGUUAGUUAAUCAAACUACCCGGAAGUCGAUGAGGGCGUCCCGCCAAACAAACUCAACCAUUAAAAGUGUUGGAAACCACAGAAUCUUCUAAACGAGUGACACGAUGACGUCAUACACUAUUCUGUGGAGCAACCAAUCAACGCCAAACAAACUUAACCAUUAAAAGUGUUGGAAAACUUCAACCGCAACCACAGAAUCUUCUAGACGAGUUCCUGUUUGCUGGAUCCUGUUUCCUGUUUUCCAGUUUGGCGUUCCUGGUUUGUGUCUUUUCUUUAUUUUUACUUUUGGACAUUAAAUAAUGUUUUCCCGCUCAAUGCCUAUCAUCAUCUCUGCAUCUUGGGGUUUGUCACCAACACAAUGUGACAUGAUCAAGAGAAGAAUAUCGACCCUAGCUUCCCUGGUCUGCUGACAUCAACUCCAAAACUGGACAGAUCUGCUUUCAGGAAAAGAGAGCGGAUGAGGGUGUUACAGGACAUUUUUUCGAACUCUUAUCGACAUUCACUGUUCUAUGAAGAGGAUGAUUAUCAAACUUUGUCAAGAGUGGAUAUUGGAGUUCAGAUAUACCCUGAUGUGAAG